This 495-nucleotide ribosomal RNA is filed under the name uncultured bacterium. RNAcentral describes it as "partial 16S ribosomal RNA". It matches the Rfam family "Bacterial small subunit ribosomal RNA", at positions 28 to 505 of the family's 1533-position model. The record is from RNAcentral.
GAUGAACGCUGGCGGCGUGCCUAAUACAUGCAAGUCGAGCGAACGGACGAGAAGCUUGCUUCUCUGAUGUUAGCGGCGGACGGGUGAGUAACACGUGGAUAACCUACCUAUAAGACUGGGAUAACUUCGGGAAACCGGAGCUAAUACCGGAUAAUAUUUUGAACCGCAUGGUUCAAAAGUGAAAGACGGUCUUGCUGUCACUUAUAGAUGGAUCCGCGCUGCAUUAGCUAGUUAGUAAGGUAACGGCUUACCAAGGCAACGAUGCAUAGCCGACCUGAGAGGGUGAUCGGCCACACUGGAACUGAGACACGGUCCAGACUCCUACGGGAGGCAGCAGUAAGGAAUCUUCCGCAAUGGGCGAAAGCCUGACGGAGCAACGCCGCGUGGGUGAUGAAGGUCUUCGGAUCGUAAAACUCUGUUAUUAGGGAAGAACAUAUGUGUAAGUAACUGUGCACAUCUUGACGGUACCUAAUCAGAAAGCCACGGCUAACUACG